This 555-nucleotide small RNA is filed under the name Pongo abelii (Sumatran orangutan). Its description in RNAcentral is "retained intron". The record is from RNAcentral. Lineage: Eukaryota; Metazoa; Chordata; Mammalia; Primates; Hominidae.
CUUCCAGAGCGGACAGGCCAAAGUGCAGCAGGGCUUCCUGAAGGAGGGCUGUGAGCUCAUCAAUGAGGCCCUGAACCUGUUCAACAACGUCUACGGAGCGAUGCACGUGGAGACCUGCGCCUGCCUGCGCCUCCUCGCCCGCCUCCACUACAUCAUGGGCGACUACGCAGAGGCCCUGAGUAACCAGCAGAAGGCGGUGCUGAUGAGCGAGAGGGUGAUGGGCACCGAGCACCCCAACACCAUCCAGGAAUACAUGCACCUGGCCUUGUACUGCUUUGCCAGCAGCCAGCUGUCCACCGCCCUGAGCUUGCUGUACCGCGCCCGCUACCUCAUGCUGCUGGUGUUCGGGGAAGACCACCCCGAGAUGGCGCUGCUGGACAACAACAUCGGGCUGGUGCUGCACGGGGUGAUGGAGUACGACCUAUCGCUGCGCUUCCUGGAGAACGCGCUGGCCGUCAGCACCAAGUACCACGGGCCCAAGGCCCUCAAGGUGGCCCUCAGGUGAGGGGCCGCCCGCCCAAACUCCAAGGCCCGCGGAGGCCUGCGGGGCACCCG